This 587-nucleotide ribosomal RNA is filed under the name uncultured haloarchaeon. RNAcentral's name for it is "bacterial SSU rRNA". It matches the Rfam family "Archaeal small subunit ribosomal RNA", at positions 335 to 921 of the family's 1478-position model. The record is from RNAcentral. Lineage: Archaea; Methanobacteriati; Methanobacteriota; Halobacteria; Halobacteriales; Halobacteriaceae.
GCAGGCGCGAAACCUUUACACUGUACGCAAGUGCGAUAAGGGGACUCCGAGUGUGAAGGCAUAGAGCCUUCACUUUUGUACACCGUAAGGUGGUGUACGAAUAAGGGCUGGGCAAGACCGGUGCCAGCCGCCGCGGUAAUACCGGCAGCCCGAGUGAUGGCCGAUAUUAUUGGGCCUAAGGCGUCCGUAGCUGGCCGGACAAGUCCGUUGGGAAAUCUGUUCGCUUAACGAGCAGGCGUCCAGCGGAAACUGUUCGGCUUGGGACCGGAAGACCUGAGGGGUACGUCCGGGGUAGGAGUGAAAUCCUGUAAUCCUGGACGGACCACCGGUGGCGAAAGCGCCUCAGGAGGACGGAUCCGACAGUGAGGGACGAAAGCUAGGGUCUCGAACCGGAUUAGAUACCCGGGUAGUCCUAGCUGUAAACGAUGCCCGCUAGGUGUGGCGCAGGCUACGAGCCUGCGCUGUGCCGUAGGGAAGCCGAGAAGCGGGCCGCCUGGGAAGUACGUCUGCAAGGAUGAAACUUAAAGGAAUUGGCGGGGGAGCACUACAACCGGAGGAGCCUGCGGUUUAAUUGGAGUCAACGCCGG